Oryza sativa Japonica Group (Japanese rice) is the source of this 2770-nucleotide non-coding RNA. Lineage: Eukaryota; Viridiplantae; Streptophyta; Magnoliopsida; Poales; Poaceae. The record is from RefSeq and is a predicted model, not a curated record.
ACCCUAGCAGCGGCAAAAAAAAAAAAGGAAAAAGAAAAAAACCCUCGGCCGCGACGGUUCCAUCGCCCCUCUCAUCUCUCUCGCUCUCUCCGGCGCGAUGCGCCGCGCCGCCUGGAUCUCGCCGCGCCAUGGCCGCCGCCCGCUCUUCUCCUUUUGCGCCCGGCACAGCGACAAUGACGGCCACGCGGAUCACGUGAGUGAACUGGUGGCCGCCCUCAACUCUUCUCCCUCUCCAUCCCCAUUCUCUUCCUUUCCGGGUAGGCGGAGGCCUGUGACAACGAUGGCCGCGCGGGCGAGCCGUCGAGGAGGCGGAGAAUCACCAGAUCUGGUAGGGCGGCGGCCCGAUUCGGAGAGGAAGCAGCCCGAUCUGUGACAUUGGCUUCCAUUUCCGGCCAGCGGUGGUCUCCAGGACGGCGGAUGCCGCUGGAUCUGAUGGAUGGUGGGCUCCUGGUUGGCUCCAAUGCUCCAUCAUACCUCCCUAUUUGCUUUCUUCAAAGGAGUCUGAGGUAGAUGGUGGACCACUGAUCUCCUCUCGUGCCCCUGUGUUCGUGCACACCACCUCCGCACCGACUUACCAUGCAUGCCGGCGUAUGCGGAGGAGCCUAGGUGCCGGCUACGGUGAGCUUACACGAAGGGCAUUGGUGGGUUCCCAGAGGGUGGUGGCAUCUCCAUCCCCACAUGUCGCCGCCUUGCUGCCUGGCCCCGGUUGUCGGUCACAGCCUCCAUGUCAUCAGCCACUGUGACCAGGUUGCAACUCCACCACUCUUUCACCUAACGUGACCCACUAAGAAGCUCAGUUUGAUGGCGAUGAGGUUGCUUUGGUGUUGUAGCUGUCAAUCUGGCUGGGCAUUUCUUUCAUGGGUUCAUCUAAGAUUCAUCGUAGUGUGUGCUGAUGACUUUAAAUUACUAAUGAGUUACUGCACAAUAUUAUUUGUUUUCAAGUAUAAUAAUUGAUAUAUCUUUGUAGUUGAAGUACAAGUACGCUGAUUUGUUCCAACAAAAUAUAUCAAUGUAUAAUACUUUUAUGGAUGAUUCGAUGAUGCUUCAUCCAAAUGUAGUCAUGCAUAUUAUGUCAAAAUAGACUGGCUUUGCACUUUUAGUUCGUUCAUUACGAAUAGCAUCUUUUUUAAUUAUCAUGUCCCUGAAGGUAGCGGAUUCUAUUAAUCUAUUAAACUAAUUUAUAAUGAGCACGUUUGUAACUUGACAUUAGCUGAAUUUUUACAUGCAGAACCUGAGGCUAAGCUUAUGCACUAGCUGGUAUGGUACUACUGCUACUGCGACCCUAAAAAAGCUAAACCAUCUAGAUCAGAACUCUAUAUUAUUGUUAAAACCUAAUGAUCUGCAUUACAGUGCUUUACUCUAUUUUUUGGAUGUGAUUAUUAAAGCUCGCUAUGUGUCUGUUCUUUUUUGCAAUGUAUAAAAUCAAUUUAUCUCAAAAUUUGUUGCUGCUUUGAUUCUAUUUCAAGUUGCCUAAUCUGCCCAACGUCAAUCAGCUGUCACCUUACAAUAGAUUUCAUUAUUGCUUUGCAAAUAAUAUUAGAAGGGCCAAAGAAAAUGCGAUGAAUUUUUGCAAGAUCAAAUUUUGGCAUUGUUGUCUGCUAUAUUAGUUGCUGAUGAAAGAAUUGUUAUUUAAUUUCACUUCUCUAAUUCUUAUAGGCUUUAGCUGAUGUAGUGGUUUCAGUAGCAACAUGAUAGGCUUAUGACUCCCUGAAUCAGAACAAAGGAUGCCAACAUUGGUGUCCUCUUCUAGGAGGGGCAAUGGCACCGCUGGCAACCAGCAACAUACGUGAUUGGUGCAUUUUGUUUGGCUGACCAUUGUAUGUUGCCUCCUUAAUUUGAGUUCACCAUUUCAUUAUAUAUGUCGGAAGCGAAAAUUUAGUUGAUUGUUUAUUAAACUAUGUGCCUUGCAUAUAUUAGUUUUAUGAUUUAGUUAUUUGUGAACAAGAAAUCUGUUGCAAGUUAUAGCUAAAGAUUGGUAGAGUCAUAAAAGAUUUAAUUAUCAUGAUAUCAUAGGCAUUAGCUCUGAACAUAUUAAAUAUCAUGAUAUCCACAUCCCCACGAUGUGCAACCCAAUUUAACUCGAUAUAAAAAGAUGAUGUUUCAUUGUUUUCUAAUUUGCAUUCAAGUAAUGCCUAUGAUGUUUUGCAAAUGUAACUGACUUAUCCUUCACAUGCUUCUCAUGUUGUGCAUUGGAUGGCAUGAAGUUGAUAUUGCAACUCACUUUGAAUCUUCUACCUAAUGCUUCUAAUAUUUAUACCCAUUUUUACUUAGCAUGCGAUGAUUAGUUAGCGCUUAGACUAGCAUAUAAAAAGAUUGACUUUUGAUUGGGUCCUGAUUCCUGAAGUUGGAGUUUUCUUUGAAAUGACUAAUGAUAUUAUUUGCUCUUGCCAUAUAAGUGACUUUUCAGGACUCUUGAUAUAUAAUUAUUUGUUUGGGACAAUAAAGCUUCGGUUUAGGAUGAUGAGCUCUGCCCUGCAGCACUUCUCAAGCAGCUAUGUAAAGUGGAAGCGAUUAGACGUAGCAAAUUAUACGCCUCUUCCAUUUGCACAUCAACUAAAAGGCCCUUGCAGUGAAUUCAAAGGGAAAAGGGGGCAAUUGCUGCAAAGGCAUCCAAACCACAUUAGAAUUUAACCAUUUGUGAUGUGUUCGUAUGUAUUCAUCUAGCGGAACUGUUUCUAUUCUAUCACUGUAACACUACUAUGUAUUGUCUACCCUUACACCAUACAUGUGCCAAAUUUCGCUAUAUAUAACUGUCUACGAUUUGCAUGUA